CCUACGGGAGGCAGCAGUGGGGAAUUUUGGACAAUGGGCGCAAGCCUGAUCCAGCAAUGCCGCGUGAGUGAAGAAGGCCUUCGGGUUGUAAAGCUCUUUUGUCAGGGAAGAAACGGUGGGGGCUAAUAUCCUCCACUAAUGACGGUACCUGAAGAAUAAGCACCGGCUAACUACGUGCCAGCAGCCGCGGUAAUACGUAGGGUGCAAGCGUUAAUCGGAAUUACUGGGCGUAAAGCGUGCGCAGGCGGUUUUGUAAGUCUGUCGUGAAAGCCCCGGGCUCAACCUGGGAAUUGCGAUGGAGACUGCAAGGCUUGAAUCUGGCAGAGGGGGGUAGAAUUCCACGUGUAGCAGUGAAAUGCGUAGAGAUGUGGAGGAACACCGAUGGCGAAGGCAGCCCCCUGGGUCAAGAUUGACGCUCAUGCACGAAAGCGUGGGGAGCAAACAGGAUUAGAUACCCUGGUAGUCCACGCCCUAAACGAUGUCUACUAGUUGUCGGGUUUUAAUUAACUUGGUAACGCAGCUAACGCGUGAAGUAGACCGCCUGGGGAUACGGUCGCAAGNUUAAAACUUAAAGAUAGUACGGCGNGAGAGAGCGACGACGACGACGACGGAGGAGGAG
This 619-nucleotide ribosomal RNA is filed under the name uncultured bacterium. RNAcentral's name for it is "bacterial SSU rRNA". It matches the Rfam family "Bacterial small subunit ribosomal RNA", at positions 338 to 955 of the family's 1533-position model. The record is from RNAcentral.